UGCCACAGCCAUAUCACCCUGCAGCCCAAGACCGGUUACUCACUGUAAGCCUGGUCAGUACCUGGAUGGGAGACCACAUGGGAAAACUAGGUUGCUGUUGGAA
Molecule: ribosomal RNA, 103 nt
Filed under: Danio rerio (zebrafish)
Lineage: Eukaryota; Metazoa; Chordata; Actinopteri; Cypriniformes; Danionidae
Source: RNAcentral